AGGCCCCGCCUCUCCUGCCCGCCCUUCCCCCUGGUAAGAGCGCCGGGAGCUCUGCACUCGCUCCGCGGCCUCCUGAGACUUCCAGACCCAGAGAAGAGGGAGGCGGGACGGUUCUGGGGCGAGACACGCUAGCUGGCGGAAGCUGACCGUCCUCCACGCGGCCGCAGGCCCCCAGUUGCUACACCAAUCUUGACAGACCUCAAGGCUUAGAGACCAUGGAGAGAGAUCCACAUUUGGAGUGGGGAGUUUCAUACUGGCUGACUCAAAGUCGAUGGGAUGCUACAGGAUGGGAUGUUCCCACACUCCAGUCAUCUAGACUUUAACUCUUGAAGCAGAAGAAGACGUUGAGAUUUAAUCUGACUAAUCAUUAUUACCCAGCUGCCUUGGGACAAGCCAGUCCUUUGCAGGAGCCAAGCUCUUUGAUGUUUUUGUCAUAAAUUAAUAAGUUCACCCACAAAAUAACAUCAAAGAAGAUCUACUAACUAAUUCAUUGUUAUCAUCCUCCUGUCUGCGGCUAUCUUGGAAAGUCCCCAAAAAAAGGACCACAGCCAGAAAAAGAAACCAAGAUUUGGAAAUUAUGAUCUCUGGAAAGAGAUGAGAGAGAAAUUAAUUCCUGCAGACUGCAGAGGAGACAGGGAAAGAGCAAAUCUCAGAGAAAUGAAAAAGCUGGGGAGACGGAUUUUCAACAUGUGGGUCUGUAAGGAAAAUGAAUGCAUGAAAGCUUGAGGGGGAAACUGUGGUCUGGAAAGUCUUUAAUGGUGUGAUCUCAGAGCACAUUGUGGGGACUACAAGGAAGUAUGUGGUAGGAAACAGUGCCCCAGGAGUCAGAUGACGUGGAUUUCAGCCUCUGGCUCUAUUUACUAUGUGACCAUCAGCAAAUCGCAAUAUUUCUGAACUUCAGUUUUCUGAUCAGUAAAAUGGUGGCAAUAAUGCUCCCUCGCCUGAUAGGAUUCCUCCAAGUAUAGGCGGUUUUCUCUAGAUGUUACCUGACUCUUCCAAAUUUCGUAUUUCAAGAGGAAAACAGGAAAAGAUUUAUGGAGAUGCCUUGCUGGAGAUCUUCCCACAGCAACAUUUCUUCUAGGCCAAGCAAGAUUUCCUAAAACAGAGAACAGCAAUUGUGCUUCAUUUAACUCGGUGAGCAGCUACUGAAUACCCUACACCAGGCUGAAAAAAAAAAAAAAAAAAAACCACAGGGUAUUUCUAAUCCCUCAAGGACACCAAAAUGUUAAGUGGUGACUA
Long non-coding RNA from Canis lupus familiaris (dog), 1239 nucleotides. RefSeq lists it as uncharacterized. The transcript has 2 exons. NCBI's taxonomy places the organism in Eukaryota, Metazoa, Chordata, Mammalia, Carnivora, Canidae. The record is from RefSeq and is a predicted model, not a curated record.